This is a long non-coding RNA of Syngnathus typhle (broad-nosed pipefish), 1241 nucleotides long. RefSeq lists it as uncharacterized. Lineage: Eukaryota; Metazoa; Chordata; Actinopteri; Syngnathiformes; Syngnathidae. The transcript has 2 exons. The record is from RefSeq and is a predicted model, not a curated record.
GUUUGUGCACCAAGUAGGCAGCAGCUGAAGAAUCCCUGCGAUUACAUGGAAGCAGCACACACGCUGACACGCGCCAAACACGCACUCCUUCACCAGGACACGCGGACAACAACAUCGGAUACCUUCAAAUUAAAAAUGCACCAGGAAAGAAACGCCAAAACUCCACUGCCUGUGCCUCAUGCGUCAAUUCAAUUACAUCUUUGGCUUUCAACUGACUUUAUUAUUUUUCUAGUUCUGUAUUUAAAUAUUAAUACUGUAUUUGUCAUCUAAUUGACUGUUUUCACUGUCUUUGGGGUUGUCCCGAUAGUUAAAUGCAAAGUGUUUUGUUACAGCUCCAGCUGUUGUGAAAUGCUUUAUAUGAAUAAAGUUGUAUUGUAUAUAUACGGAUGUAUUGUAACUAACCUGAACACAAUAAGAUGUCCUAUAGUACUUAAAGUACUGUACAGGGAGUAAUUACUAAUGAUGGGCAAAUGAAGCUUCAAGGUGAUUCAUGAACCCAUUGUUGUGUUUACUUAGACCUCUAAAUGACAGUCUCUGUUCACCAAAGAGCUGAAAGACCACCGAUUUGGCUUUUUUUUUUUUUUUUUUUUUUUUUUAAACCCUCACUUUAAACCAACAUUGCUAUCUAGAGGAGUCAAAGAAUACAACAACUGGUUCAUGAAGCUUCAUUUUCCCAUUACAGUUGCUCAUCGUGUUCUGUUGUAGCUUCUCAGGUGAACACAAGUAGCAGCAACCGCCUCCCUUUGACAACAAAUGGAGCUCCAGCAUGCCACGGUUCUCAUCAUUUGUAGGUGGAGGUUGAACACCCCCCCCCCCCCCCCCCCCAUUCUUGGGAUACCCCAUGCUUGCUCAGUAGUCAGUGUAGAUCCUGUGGGGCUGGCAGCAGCUACAUCUGGCUACUGGGUCUCCAUUGGGCACCACAUCCUUUCCAAAAUGGUUCCAGGUGGUUCUACUUUCUGUGGCUGCUGGUCAAUAUAUGGAAGGUUUGAAAACACAACUGGAUGCCAAUGCUCAUGCAAUUGAGGGAAACAUUUGGGUAAUUUCUGGACCUGGCAUACAUUGUAGGACUCUGUGUGUCAGUCUACAGCUACAUUGUCUGCUGGGUUUCAGACAUUACUUUAAGAAAGCACAGUUGGCUCUGUUAGUAAAAUACAUGUCCUAAGCAGAGGCAGAUGAUUUGACAACUUUGUGUUUAUUGACUCAUAAAACAUUCUUCAAACAAUAAAACAAAUUUAAAUGUU